This 497-nucleotide ribosomal RNA is filed under the name uncultured bacterium. RNAcentral describes it as "partial 16S ribosomal RNA". It matches the Rfam family "Bacterial small subunit ribosomal RNA", at positions 28 to 507 of the family's 1533-position model. The record is from RNAcentral.
GAUGAACGCUGGCGGCGUGCCUAAUACCUGCAAGUCGAGCGAACAGACGAGGAGCUUGCUCCUCUGACGUUAGCGGCGGACGGGUGAGUAACACGUGGAUAACCUACCUAUAAGACUGGGAUAACUUCGGGAAACCGGAGCUAAUACCGGAUAACAUGUUGAACCGCAUGGUUCAACAGUGAAAGACGGUCUUGCUGUCACUUAUAGAUGGAUCCGCGCCGCAUUAGCUAGUUGGUAAGGUAACGGCUUACCAAGGCAACGAUGCGUAGCCGACCUGAGAGGGCGAUCGGCCACACAGGAACUGAGACACGGUCCAGACUCCUACGGGAGGCAGCAGUAGGGAACCAUCCGAAAUGGGCGAAAGCCUGACGGACCAACGCCGCGUGAGUGAUGAAGGUCUUCGGAUCGUAAAACUCUGUUAUUAGGGAAGAACAAAUGUGUAAGUAACUAUGCACGUCUUGACGGUACCUAAACAGAAAGCCACGGCUAACUACGUG